Molecule: ribosomal RNA, 498 nt
Filed under: uncultured bacterium
Lineage: Bacteria
Description: partial 16S ribosomal RNA
Rfam family: Bacterial small subunit ribosomal RNA
Source: RNAcentral
AUUGAACGCUGGCGGCAUGCUUUACACAUGCAAGUCGAACGGUAACAGGCCUUCGGGCGCUGACGAGUGGCGAACGGGUGAGUAGUGCAUCGGAACGUGCCCAGUCGUGGGGGAUAACGCAGCGAAAGCUGUGCUAAUACCGCAUACGAUCUGCGGAUGAAAGCGGGGGACCUUCGGGCCUCGCGCGAUUGGAGCGGCCGAUGUCAGAUUAGGUAGUUGGUGGGGUAAAGGCCCACCAAGCCGACGAUCUGUAGCUGGUCUGAGAGGACGACCAGCCACACUGGGACUGAGACACGGCCCAGACUCCUACGGGAGGCAGCAGUGGGGAAUUUUGGACAAUGGGCGCAAGCCUGAUCCAGCAAUGCCGCGUGCAGGAAGAAGGCCUUCGGGUUGUAAACUGCUUUUGUACGGAGCGAAAAGGCUCCCUCUAAUACAGGGGGCUCAUGACGGUACCGUAAGAAUAAGCACCGGCUAACUACGUGCCAGCCGCCGCAGUAA